This 253-nucleotide unclassified non-coding RNA is filed under the name uncultured bacterium. RNAcentral describes it as "contains 16S-23S intergenic spacer region". It matches the Rfam family "Bacterial small subunit ribosomal RNA", at positions 524 to 776 of the family's 1533-position model. The record is from RNAcentral.
UACAGAGGGUGCGAGCGUUAAUCGGAAUUAUUGGGCGUAAAGGGCUUGUAGGCGGUUCUAUAAGUUAGGUGUGAAAACCCUGGGCUCAACCUGGGGCUUGCACUUAAUACUGUGGAGCUAGAGUAUGGGAGAGGAGAAGGGAAUUCCUGGUGUAGCGGUGAAAUGCGUAGAUAUCAGGAGGAACAUCAGUGGCGAAGGCGCUUCUCUGGCCUAAUACUGACGCUGAGGAGCGAAGGCGUGGGGAUCAAACAGG